Long non-coding RNA from Hemiscyllium ocellatum (epaulette shark), 598 nucleotides. RefSeq lists it as uncharacterized. The record is from RefSeq and is a predicted model, not a curated record. NCBI's taxonomy places the organism in Eukaryota, Metazoa, Chordata, Chondrichthyes, Orectolobiformes, Hemiscylliidae. The transcript has 3 exons.
AGUUUUAACUAGUAAAGCUAUGUUAUCCUGUGGCUCUGUGACUUGUCUAUUUUGGAGCAGGCACCACACUGUUUAAAAUCACCCUAAGGCCGAUUUUGUUAGCAGAGUGGGAGACAAUCGUUGGAGUCUGAUCUGACCGAGUCUGAGUGAAGGAUCAAAAUUUUGAUGUUUUUCAGCUGAUCACUUACGUCAAAAAUUGCAAAGUUCCCAGCAAGACAUUUAUUUGCAGCCAAGGACAUUCAUUCCUGACUCUGAUACUAUAACUGUUGACAGUCACCAUUUGGUGCCUUGACCAAACGAGAAUUAUCCACGAUCGACAGUAUCCUGAGAUUUCAUUGCUUGAACACGAGAGGUUUGGGCGGAUGAAUUCAACGCUGGUCCUAGAGUGCAGCCUGUAGAAACUCGUGGCCUGUCUACGCUCAGUCCCUAGGUUUCAUUAAGGGAAUGGAAGAGUUGAAUGUGGGACUAAAAGGCAAUUUCAACAACGUGUCACAUAUUUACUCCAAGGUUACGUUAAGGGAAUGGAUUGAGUUGAAUAAUGUUCAUAGAAAAAUAAGAUCAGCUAAAAUGUAUUAAUGUACAUUUAUACAAGAAGUGA